CAGCAGUGAGGAAUAUUGGUCAAUGGACGCGAGUCUGAACCAGCCAAGUAGCGUGAAGGAUGACUGCCCUAUGGGUUGUAAACUUCUUUUAUAAGGGAAUAAAGUGAGGGACGUGUCCCUUUUUGUAUGUACCUUAUGAAUAAGGAUCGGCUAACUCCGUGCCAGCAGCCGCGGUAAUACGGAGGAUCCGAGCGUUAUCCGGAUUUAUUGGGUUUAAAGGGAGCGUAGGUUGACAUAUAAGUCAGCUGUGAAAGUUUACGGCUCAACCGUGAAAUUGCAGUUGAUACUGUAUGUCUUGAGUGUACAAGAGGUGGGCGGAAUUCGUGGUGUAGCGGUGAAAUGCUUAGAUAUCACGAAGAACUCCAAUUGCGAAGGCAGCUCACUGGGGUACAACUGACACUGAGGCUCGAAAGUGUGGGUAUCAAACAGGAUUAGAUACCCUGGUAGUCCACACAGUAAACGAUGAAUACUCGCUGUUUGCGAUAUACAGUAAGCGGCCAAGCGAAAGCAUUAAGUAUUCCACCUGGGGAGUACGCCGGCAACGGUGAAACUCAAAGGGAUUGACGGGGGCCCGCACAAGCGGAGGAACAUGUGGUUUAAUUCGAUGAUACGCGAGGAACCUUACCCGGGCUUGAAUUGCAGAGGAACAUAGUUGAAAGAUUAUGGCCGCAAGGUCUCUGUGAAGGUGCUGCAUGGUUGUCGUCAGCUCGUGCCGUGAGGUGUCGGCUUAAGUGCCAUAACGAGCGCAACCCUUAUCAUUAGUUACUAACAGGUCAUGCUGAGGACUCUAGUGAGACUGCCGUCGUAAGAUGUGAGGAAGGUGG
Molecule: ribosomal RNA, 824 nt
Filed under: uncultured Bacteroides sp.
Lineage: Bacteria; Pseudomonadati; Bacteroidota; Bacteroidia; Bacteroidales; Bacteroidaceae
Description: bacterial SSU rRNA
Rfam family: Bacterial small subunit ribosomal RNA
Source: RNAcentral